AUAGACUUACCUCACAAUCCUUCAUGCUGGACCCUUAUGGCGUUUUUCAAGUUUUUAAUACUAUUUCAAGGUGUGUGCUGAAAAUCUCCACAUGUCGAGCUGCACAGAAAAAUAUUUGUUUGGCUUUAUGCGAGGCUGAUCAGUCUUAUUAAUCUUCAGGAAAUUUUUGAGAAACAUAUCACGAAGAGAUGUUGGGAAAAUUUUAGAAAGAACCAUAACGACACAACUGAUGGCUCAAUUCAGGUGAUCAGGUGUGAAAACUUGAUCUACCUAAAAUCAGUCAAUAUUCACGACAAAUGUUUCCUUCAUGAUAUAGAGAAAUAAUUCCUUACCAGUAUUUGGAAUAAAUUUUCAUGAUCAGGUACUUCAUUAAGAAUAUAAUUUUCAUUUAUUUUAAAACACAACAAUUUUAACGAGUCGGGGAAACAAGAGGUAUUAAUAAAAAUGAACAGCAUUUUAUUUCUCAAAUAUUUUCUCAAUGGAAGUAUCAUGUCAACAAAAUUAAAUUAGAAAAUCACCUAAAACAAUUCAAUGACGUCGUAAGUAAAAUAUCGAGUGACUUUAGGAUAAAUUAAAAAAAAAAAAAUUUGGUCGGUGUCAAUUAGAAAUAGACUCCUAGUACCAGCCAUGAGCCAACAAUAGAAUUUGGCUGGGAAAUGAAAAGUACAUGUGAAAUAUCAUAACAAUUAGAGACCUUACAGCCUUAUGGUUUCAGUGAUCACCCUCUAUUAUUUUUUACACAAUCAAACAACUACCAGAGUACCACUAAAACAAAUUCUACCAAGUACCACUGGGGCAUUCAAUUAAAACAGAAACA
Long non-coding RNA from Capsicum annuum, 817 nucleotides. RefSeq lists it as uncharacterized. NCBI's taxonomy places the organism in Eukaryota, Viridiplantae, Streptophyta, Magnoliopsida, Solanales, Solanaceae. The record is from RefSeq and is a predicted model, not a curated record. The transcript has 3 exons.